RNAcentral lists this long non-coding RNA (227 nucleotides) under Olea europaea (common olive). Its description in RNAcentral is "long non-coding RNA (OEUR_LNC009338)". Lineage: Eukaryota; Viridiplantae; Streptophyta; Magnoliopsida; Lamiales; Oleaceae. The record is from RNAcentral.
AAAACAAAGAACAUAAAUUCAAAGGCCUGCUACGUGCCAAUUCGUGCGCUAUGGGUAAAUAACCCAGAGAAGGCUUUAUACUUGGCACGCACAACACAUAUUUACAAAGCCAAACUAAAAGGAAGGCCACUCGCUCAGUAUGGGUAGGCUCAGCACUCGAAUGAUUGUGGAGGGUCUGCAGGCUUGAAUAAGAGUCGGUAUAGUUUUUACCAAACUGUCGGGCGCCA